Molecule: long non-coding RNA, 1232 nt
Organism: Daktulosphaira vitifoliae (grape phylloxera)
Lineage: Eukaryota; Metazoa; Arthropoda; Insecta; Hemiptera; Phylloxeridae
Exons: 3
Source: RefSeq, a predicted model, not a curated record
UCCGGUGGCUUUCAACCGUUCACAUUAUGAGUACACACGUUAUUCGUUGCCGGUGCGCGUACGACGGUGUUGUUGAAUAGAUUGGACGUGAAAAAUUGAAAACGUUGUUUUAAAUCAAUUGGUAGUUGUGUAAUAUCUCCGAGUCUAAAAUAAAUUCGAGAGGACCAGCCGUGUAUUUUCAAACAAUUUUAGGGAGAGGGUUUGAAAAUUUCGAUUGAAGAACAUAGUAAAAAAUUGUCUUAUUUUUAUUCCUCCUUUAAAAUUAUUAGUGUUUCUUGAAUCUUAAAAACGUUCAUAACCAUUGAAGAUGGAUAAUAAAGGGUUCAGCGGAAAAUGUUGUACUACUUCGAUGGAGAUGAAACGCCCUCCAGCUAUUGAUCCAGAAAAGGCCACUUCUAAGGAUAAAAAAUGCCCGGCUAUAUGUCCUCGGACUCCUUCACCAUGGCAUCCAGACAAAACGCGAUACGUAAUCAUCCUAUUAGUUGCUACAGUCACAUGGACAAUAUUGGGAUUUGCUAUGGUUUUUCUUCAUAUUUUUUAAAGCUGUUUUGUGUACGUCACAAACGUUUUGAACAUUUUAUCAUAGUUUCCAACCCAAUGAUAAUAAUAUAAUUUUCACUGUUGAUAAUUAAGUAUUCAAACGCAGUUUAAAAUGUAAUCUAUAUUAAUCAUUUUGGGUUUAAGUUAAUCAUUACCGCAGGAAAUAUCUUUUAUGUUAAAAUGUUAUACGAUAAAAUGGAAUAUGAUGAUAGCUUUAACAAGCAAGGUUUUUUUUAAUGUGAAUACACCGUUUAUUACCCAUUAAUUUAAAAAAGAAAUUAUGUACCUUUUCGACAAUAAAAUAAUAAUAUACUGCUGUAAAUAUAAACCGUUUAUUGGUAAGAUAACGCACAGUCUUUAAAAACCUUAUUUUUUUAGUUAUAAAAGUUAUCUUUAUUAUUGUUAUUAUUUAUUCAAAUUAUUAUUAAAGUUGUACCUUUGUUCAAUGUUAAUUUUUUAUUUUUAUAAAAAAAAAAAAUAAACAAAUUCAAAUAAACAGUAUUAUAAAUAGUUUUUUUUUUUUUUUUUAAUUAAAAUAUAAGCAUUAGUUUUUUAUUAAUACUUUAAUGAUGUAAUAUUGUAAUAAUAAAUUACUUUUAGUAAUAAAUAAUUCACUAAUGUGAGUUUAUGUAAAUUUUAAACAAUUAAAAUAAUGAAUUCAUGAAAAAUAUGUUUACCUGUACUUUUUACCA